AAUGAACGCUGGCGGUAGGCCUAACACAUGCAAGUUGAACGGCAGCACAGGAGAGCUUGCUCUCUGGGUGGCGAGUGGCGGACGGGUGAGGAAUACAUCGGAAUCUACUUUUUCGUGGGGGAUAACGUAGGGAAACUUACGCUAAUACCGCAUACGACCUACGGGUGAAAGCAGGGGAUCUUCGGACCUUGCGCGAUUGAAUGAGCCGAUGUCGGAUUAGCUAGUUGGCGGGGUAAAGGCCCACCAAGGCGACGAUCCGUAGCUGGUCUGAGAGGAUGAUCAGCCACACUGGAACUGAGACACGGUCCAGACUCCUACGGGAGGCAGCAGUGGGGAAUAUUGGACAAUGGGCGCAAGCCUGAUCCAGCCAUACCGCGUGGGUGAAGAAGGCCUUCGGGUUGUAAAGCCCUUUUGUUGGGAAAGAAAUCCAGCUGGUUAAUACCCGGUUGGGAUGACGGUACCCAAAGAAUAAGCACCGGCUAACUUCGUGCCAGCCGCCGCAGUAA
This 506-nucleotide ribosomal RNA is filed under the name uncultured bacterium. RNAcentral describes it as "partial 16S ribosomal RNA". It matches the Rfam family "Bacterial small subunit ribosomal RNA", at positions 29 to 523 of the family's 1533-position model. The record is from RNAcentral.